CAUUCGAGUGGCGGACGGGUGAGUAACGCGUGGGUAACCUGCCUUACACAGGGGGAUAACACCUGGAAACAGGUGCUAAUACCGCAUAAGCGCACAGGGCCGCAUGGCCCGGUGUGAAAAACUCCGGUGGUGUAAGAUGGACCCGCGUCUGAUUAGCUUGUUGGCGGGGUAGGGGCCCACCAAGGCGACGAUCAGUAGCCGGCCUGAGAGGGUGAACGGCCACAUUGGGACUGAGACACGGCCCAAACUCCUACGGGAGGCAGCAG
Molecule: ribosomal RNA, 266 nt
Filed under: uncultured bacterium
Lineage: Bacteria
Description: partial 16S ribosomal RNA
Rfam family: Bacterial small subunit ribosomal RNA
Source: RNAcentral